This 666-nucleotide long non-coding RNA is filed under the name Phoenix dactylifera (date palm). RNAcentral describes it as "long non-coding RNA (PDAC_LNC012267)". The record is from RNAcentral. Lineage: Eukaryota; Viridiplantae; Streptophyta; Magnoliopsida; Arecales; Arecaceae.
UGUGUACAACUAUUAAGGCAAGGAACACAUGCAUACUAUGACUGAUCAGAGACCUAUUAUUAGAUCCCCACACGUGUACUUAAUGACAAUAGGAAGGCCUCAGGAGUUCAUAUUUGUUAACUGCAUUUUUGUUAGCCUUAUCCAUAAAAGAAGUAUGAGUAUCCGUACCAUAAGGUUCAGGAUUUGGUUUUCACAUAAAGAUAGAGGUUGAAUAUCCCGACUAGAUUACUCAGGUGCCUUAUGAUCCGACUUUGGUUGACCUAUAGUCACGAUGCAGUCACAUAUAUAAUAAAAAUAUUUAUAUGGUUCAGUCUAUCAUUUCUUUUCUUGCAUAAUUAUUAUUCAAAAAAAAAAUAUUAUUCAAAAAAAAAAUACUUAUGAUGACAAGUCUGGCCUCGUGGCGUAGUCUGGUUCGAGUAAUUAAGUCCGAGGGGUGUUUCACCUAAUGUCUUGAGCCAACUGGAUCGGGGGUCAUUGACUGAAAGCUCGCUACAUGGACCUUACUAGAGCCUAAUGGGGUUGGAUAGCUGUAGUUGUCAUGUGUAUUGAAAAAAAAAAUGAAAUAAAAAUAAGCAUAAAUAGGGUUGGUUCGACUGAACCUAGUGACAUGUGGUAAUGGCUGGUUUGACUCCAUUGUAUUGGACCUCUGUGUACCCGGGUUGUUUA